RNAcentral lists this ribosomal RNA (34 nucleotides) under Donadinia helvelloides. RNAcentral describes it as "partial 28S ribosomal RNA". The record is from RNAcentral. Lineage: Eukaryota; Fungi; Ascomycota; Pezizomycetes; Pezizales; Sarcosomataceae.
UGACCUCGGAUCAGGUAGGGAUACCCGGCGUAAC